AACAAAACUCGUAACGGUGGAUGUCUUGGCUCCCACAUCGAUGAAGAACGCAGCAAAAUGCGAAACGUAAUGCGAAUUGCAGAAUCCGUGAAUCAUCAAAUCUUUGAACGCAAGUUGCGCUCGCGGGUAAUCCUGCGAGCAUGUCUGUUUGAGUGU
This 156-nucleotide ribosomal RNA is filed under the name Pachymenia lusoria. RNAcentral's name for it is "5.8S ribosomal RNA". It matches the Rfam family "5.8S ribosomal RNA". From Rfam's summary of the family: 5.8S ribosomal RNA (5.8S rRNA) is a component of the large subunit of the eukaryotic ribosome. Lineage: Eukaryota; Rhodophyta; Florideophyceae; Halymeniales; Halymeniaceae. The record is from RNAcentral.